RNAcentral lists this long non-coding RNA (20534 nucleotides) under Homo sapiens (human). RNAcentral describes it as "HSALNT0299158". Lineage: Eukaryota; Metazoa; Chordata; Mammalia; Primates; Hominidae. The record is from RNAcentral.
GUCAUCUUCCAACUAAAGAGGCCAGGAAAUGGCCGAGUCAGCUCCUGCUGCAGCACCUCCUAGAAUCAGAAAAGGCCUUUCCGAGAAUCUUGCUGAACCCUGAGGGUGAGGAGUGUCAGAUUUUGCAGCGGGGGGAAGCUGGCAGUGGAGCCUCCACUUCUAAGUAACCUUUGCUUCGGAAACCUGCCAACUCUCUGCCUGGAGACUUGCCUUUGAUCACGACUUGUCACCUUUCAGGAGAUGUUCCACUUUCUAAGCAGGUGAAAAAUGAACCUGAUUAAAAAUAGGGAACUGGACUCUUCACAGAGUCCCCCUGUAAAGCCAAACUACUGGCUACACCUCCAAGGGGGAAAAGGGAACAUCCCUGUCCCUCAGGUCCCAGGGCUCCGUGGGACCCAGGACCCCCGAACAGCCUGCAACCCUACGACGACGGCCUGGCCAUGCUCCAGCAGCAGGCAGAGGCUUGGGCCACAGCCACGUACUGGCUCCUGCUCGCUGGGUUCACCUUGGUGACCAGAGGGCACUGUGACCGCCCAUUCUCCUCCCUCCCUUCCUCCUCCCCUCAGUGCUUUAUGGACCUGAGUUUCUGGAGCUUUCUCAAAACCGUGGACACGUUCCCAGUGGAAAUCAUGACAUUUUCCGUUUCACAUUACGCACUCCACAAUGCCCCAGGAAGGGAGAGAGAGAGGGAAGGAAAAUAGGGCCUGGGAGCCAGCCCCUCUCUGUCUGCAGCCAGGGCUGCUCGCUGCUCUGUUUAUCCUGGAGUCACCUCCCUCCCGAACUUGACAGCCAGUGCCCCAGUGUUUUCUUCUGCAGUCAAAGGCCCCGAUGAAUAGGUGAACUGCCUUUUCUAUCUGCUCAUGUGGCACAUCUGGAUAAAGGCGUGCCUCUCUACUUUGUUGUGUUUUUUUAAAACUUUACUUUCCACUGCCAUGGUAACUGCUGCAUGUUUGGCAGAGGGAAAGAGGAAAAAAAAAAAAAGCUCGGAGAGAAGAAAAGGAGCUCUCAGCGCGGGGCUGGCGGCCGUCCAGGGUAAUCAUGCCGCAGAGCUGAAAUGAGGCCUCUGGCGGGCAGCCAAGUUACAAAGAACAAAGCUGUCAGUUCCUAAUGUUGGCGGCAAUGCUUGUUUGGCACCCUUAUAUGGUUUCCCAGAACUCCCUGCCUUGGCCGCCUUCCAUUCCCUUCAGGGCAGCAAACAGGAUUAGCACAGCUCCGAGUUGUUUUUCUCCUCUCUCCUCCAACUGUUCCAAUGACAUCAUCCCUGCUGCAUUCAUUUGCCAGCAGGGUGGUUUUUUUCUCUCUCUCUCCACCUCCCUCCUCCCUUCCUCCCUCCCUCUCCCUCCAUUUCUCUCUCUCUCUCUCUCUCACACACACAUCUCUACUCCCACUCACUUCCUGUAGCCUCCCCCUCGCCUCUGACUUUCUUUAAAUGCAAUGUUUUAGGUCAUUCUUCUUGUCCAGCUUCUCUGUUAAAUUAAAAACACCCUAGUGCUUGUACAUUUAGCUGAAUCAAGCCAGACGCUGUAUUUUAUUUUUAUAACUGAAUUCCUGUGAGAUAAAAAUCUCAUUUUCCUUAGUAGGCUGUAAUCAGCACUCACAGGGAUGUGGUUUCCAACUGCCCCAGCUCGUGCUUCCUUAUGAAGCUCCGCUGAGAAAUGAACUUGGCUCCUGUUCAGGUUUAAAGGGCCCGAGGCCGGUCACACAUUGCUCACUCAUACACACACACACACACACACACACACACACACACACACAGAGGAUGUGCACACAAAGACCAUUAUACAUGUAUGCACACACACAUGGACACACGUUCUUGUCCAGGGAAGCCCCUACGGUUCCACACACGAAGAGCAAAAAAGUAUUCCCUGAGACAGACAGACACACAAUCAGUACCCAGUGUCAUUCUUCCCCUUUCCAGGAGGAAAAUAGGUGAAUAAGUCAAGCUGAAAGCUGCUUCCGAAAAGACUGUUUUAAACUAGCAGGCAGGCCAGCGUUAUGCAACUCAUGGCUAGGUUCAUUAAAGGAAUCGAGGUUUGCCGACUGCACAAAUGUUCCCCUGCCUGCCUCCGCCCCAGCCCCUCCACCCCACCCUGCUCUGAUUCAUGAACUAGUUUUCAGAUUCAUGAAUCACUCGGGAGCCAGCAAGAGAAAAAUGAGUAGUAUUGAUCUCAUUUCAAUUGAAAUGGGCUCAUUAAGGCCAUGCUGGCUGUGGACGGCCUUGCACGACAAGACGCUGGCCGGCGUCCGAGGUCUGCAGGCGGGCGCCCGAGCCUGCGGGUGGGACAGGACUCCUUGGGUGAAGCCUCCGCGGAGGGUGCCCCUUCUUAUUAUUAUUAAAUGGACACAAUAUGAUCUACUGGUACAAGGGACUCUGGCUGCACUCCGCAGCCCUCGUUGGGCAGGCCGGUUUUCUUCUUUUUGUGUGGCCCGUUUAUUUUGUUAUUUUUUUUCACAGUUAAUGGAAUCUCAGUGCAGUUUCGCUCCUGGAUUUCUGGUGACUCUUAAGGACUACCUGAAGUAGGAAUUCACCUUCUGAAACAACUGGCAUAUCUUGGGGUUUGUUUGUUUUAACGCAAACAAGGAGCUUUUUACUCUUCUCCCUCCAGACCUCUGCCUUGCCACCCUCCUUGUACCGUCUUCAGCGAGAAGGACUAGGGGCUAGGAACCAUCUAGACUUGGAGUAAUCUAAUUUAUGUGGGGAAAAUUUCUCCACCAACUGGAUGGCUGCCUUCACGUGGACACCGGUUUUAUAAAACCACUCUUUCCCUUCCCAAAUGAGAAUAAUGGUUGAGGAAGCAGCAACAGAGCCUGGGUGCAGAGACAUCACAGAGGGAGGCGUUAGGCCCCUGGGGCAGAUGUCGCAGAGGCCGCCCACGAAGGAGCUCUCUUCUCUCCCACUGCCUUUCCUCUCCCCACUUGAGUUCCAGCUCCCUCUUGACACGAGCUCCCCUCCCCUUUCCAGCCCUUCGCCUUACACUUGUCCUCAUGUCUGGGGAAUCUUUUCCUCUUCCUCUCUACAACACCGGUUGGGCACCGUGUGUGAGCAGAUCAGGAGAGGCUAUUAGCUUUGAUUUGCAGCUUCCAAAUGGAUUUUUGCAUGGUUUCUUCCUCCAGCUCCUUCCACCCCCACGCCAGCCCUGGGAGAUUAAAAACAAUGGACUGGACACAUGCUUUUCAGAAAACCCAAAAAGCUGUCAACCAACACCACAGAAGGAUUCCAUCCUAAGAGGCAUACUUUUGGAUCCAAGAGUUUAGAAAUGAGAUUCUUAUCCAUUGACUUCAGAGACACCGUCAUGCAUUAGACGCAUUUCCCUUGGCAGGGAUUCGACGAAGUGACCUUACUCCCCUUUGUUCCUGCAGUGCCCGGAGAAACUGGGAAUGACCCAAAGAAGGAAAAGGAAGGUGUGUUUGUGUGAAUUUCAAUCAGCAAUUGGUUCAGAGUCAAGAAGAGCUGUUUUGCCUUCCGUGAGGUCUGUCUGAAGGUGCCUUUCAGCUCUGAGCUGCCCGAGCAUUCUUGGGCUGAAUCUGCAGUCAACCGGAGCCCUAGGCCUGCCGCUCCCCCGUGGGUUAAAAUCACUCCCACAGAUUUGCUGGCUGGCCUUAGAGCAAAUGGGGAUAGUGGGUUGGCUCAGGUUUUGCAUUAACUCGUCUGAUAUUUUCCACUGCAGCCUCCCAUUCUGUGAUAAAGCUAAGUUGCUAGGAAAGCUUUAUGUAACACCCACCCAGCCUCAGCUUCUCAGAGAAGCAAGUGUUGUUUCCAGAGUUCCCCAUAAACCUGGCAGCACAUCAAAACCUCUGUUUCAUAACAGACUAGAAAUAGGAUUUUCUAAUAACAUUCCAAGGACUGGACUUAUCGUGCAGGGAUCUGCACUUUUAUGAAUUGUUAAUGGUUAACUAAACAAAGACCCCCAGCAUACCCAACCUGCUAUCUCUGGGGUCAGGAUGGGAAGGGAAGUUGGAAGAAUGUGGUUUCUACAUCCACAAUCUGUUGGUUAGUGACCCAGGGCCCUUUUCAAAGAAUUUGCUCAAUAAUCUCAAACAUAUUGGAGGAUCUUAUUCAUGUUUUUAAAAAAGAAAAAACUACCUCCUUCCUGCUUCUCCCUUCAUUCAUGGAGAAUGUGGUUUCCUUUUAUUUUGUUGCCAGACACACUGACAGUUAUGGAUUUAACCCCCAGCUUUCCUCUGGGAGAGGGCAGCUUUCUUCCAGACACACCUAGAUUUGGGGGAUCCAAAUAUCUUCAUGCAAUAGACAAACCACACAUUUCAUACUCCCCUCCCAGAAUCGUGGGUUGACAGAGUGAUUACAGAGAGAAGGGAGCAUGAGGUUGCCACGUCCCUCCUCCCUCACACCCAUGUGCUCCUCCCGAGAUGCGGUCCACCCCAUCUCAUCCGAUUCUGGUUUAGAUUAUCACAGGGAUGGGAGUUCCCUCGAAAAGGCCAUUUGCAGCCUAUUUAGAUGUCACUUAAGAAACUUCUUCCUAGGAUUCCAACGGCAUGUCCCUUUGUUCCGUGUCGUCACGUUGUCCCCGCUGGCGUGGCGGUUCCUCCCUUCCUGGCUCUUCCCUGCCCUCCUUGUGCAGUAAGCACGUGGGCAUCACUUCAAAGCAAAAGGAGCCCUUGUCCAUCACUGUUGAGGUGAGGAGGACCAUCACCAAAGCCCCAGGACAGGGUAACUGUGGAAGGCAGGGGCUCAGCAUUAGCAAGGCUGACCUUAGGGACAGCCUGAUGGCAGGUAGCUGCCUCUGGGCGAGCAUGAGCUGCCUUAAGAGGAUACUGUUGUGUGGGCUCUCCCUCACUCCUUCCUAUGACCCCCCAUGCCCUCAACAUUCUUCCCUGGGUGCGCUCUCUGGGCUCACCUGGACAAUCCAUGGGAGCACCUCAUUUCCCUGACCAAGACCUAAGCUUUCGUCCAGCUAGAACUGCUCUGCCCCUUCCCUGCACGGCCCUCAGCUCUGCGCACCCUGUAAUGUCCCUUUUUUUCAGCUUAAUUAUCAUCUCUCCCUCGCCCCAAUCUCCUCAAAUAAUUCUGCUUGGUAAAUCUCUUCUAGCUUCUUGCUUUGGAAUAUUGGCUCCCAGAGGUUCCAACUGUGGCCUUUCCAGGGCAGGUCUUACGUGGUCAUUUCUUCCGUGGCUGUCCACAUAAUUUCCUCCAUCCAACUGGCGUUUGCAACAUCUUCCCAUUUAGUUUCAUUUGAAUUUGAUUUACCAGUUUCUUACCCUUUCUUCUGGAUUAUUAGUAAACAUGAAAAAGGAAAGGCUCCCCUCUCACCAGGGCUGUCCCUUGUGUCCAGCUGAGCCCUCAGGAAGAAGCCCCAUUCCCCAUGACCUGCACACCAGCCCUCGAUGUGAAACGACUCCAAGGAAACUGCAGUCAGAGUGGGCUUCCCUCACCAGGCUGAGAUUUCAUAUCCUUGAGAUCAAUUUAGUGCCUGGACACCUGGUUGCUAUGGGGAUGGUUGUCAUGAAAAACACACCAAUCUGUAGAGAGAUAUAAAAUGGAUCCCGGUGGUACACACUCGGGCAUUAGCUUUGAGAAAUGGCUUGCUGCUUAUCACUUUCUUUUGUGGACACAGUGCCUCUGCUUUUCAAAUUCAACCUGGGUGACCUUCUUAGAACCAGGCCAACACAAAUCCAUUUUCAGUUAUUUCCUAAGGGACAAUCAAGGGCUUCCCCAAAUGCCAGAUGCCCCCUGUCUUCCUGUCCCGAGCUGAGUCAGCUGAGAAGAAGAGGACAUUCUUUUCUGGCACGGUUUGUUCUUUACUGACUGCCAUUGAUCCAUUAGCAAAACAGCAGGCAGAACAAAAAUACUGACCCUGACAACGCUUCAGAUCAGGUGGCUCCGAUGAGUGACAGAUGUUAGCAGGAGACCUUGGAUGCACUGCCCAGUUUGCAGGGGCAGAAGCUGAAAGGGACACCAGAGACCAAUUCAGGACACAGCAUAAACCUGCAUCAGGACUGGGUGAUUCAGCAAGGUGUUAGCUCAGGGCUGGGUAAUUCAGCAAGAGACACUGAAAAGAUGUAUAGGGGUGUUCAUUAACCUUACCUCCUCUCCCUCCACAUUCUCAAAACUUGCAUUUGGUUACUACUUGCUGAAGGUCUGUUUCUCCCUUGGUCUGGCUUAUUUGCAGAAACCAGUAAAACAUUUCAUGCAUCUCUCUUGGGCAUAGACCUAGACUCCACGGCUCUGGAAGGGUAAAGGGGCAGACACUGGUUCAUUUUGCAAUUCACAAAGAAUAGCUGGAGGCCUUCUGACAUUUGCUCGGGGUAAGGGUUGAAAGAGUGGUUUGGUGUUCCGAUUUUAAGCUGUGCCAUUGGCUAAGUGUAACUUGGAGUAGGCAAAUGGGGAAAAUUAACUACAGCAAUAGUCACGUUAGGAAUGCAGGCAAGGUCUACCUCUGAAAUGGUUCCUAGCGCUAGUGGGACUCCCUAUCUGAAAACCUGCGUUAAAUACAUUCUUUCUUUUUGGGGGAAUAUGUCUGAAUUCUUAAAAAUGGGUCAGAACUUAGUCACUGACUUGGUGUUUCAUCUUCAGCAAUUCCUUUGACUACUCAAUGCCUCAAUGUCCUUCUUUAUUACCGAGAGAAGUGAUUUUGCUUCUGUUUCAUACCAAAAAGAGUUUUAAACAUCUUUCGCUUUGGUCAGUCCUAUCACAUUGCUGCUGAUAGUGGAGGUAAAGACCAGACUCAGAUGAAUGUAAGAAUGUGAGAACAAUGAAUGCAUUUAUCAUGCACAAUGUUAGUAUAAGGUGCUGUACAAUGUUAGAAUGUGUUCUUAGUACUCCCUGUAGACUGAGUGGUUAUGAAGUCCCGCCGUGGUGUUCCAAAUUCUUCAGCUAGUUCCACUAACUACACUGGGCUACUGUUAUUUUGACCUCUCAUUUGCAUAUCUUCAAUUUCUCUAAAUACUCCUUUAACCCUUCCUUAUCAAUAGUUUAUUGACUGCAUCCUCCCAAUCAUUCUUACCUCUUAUCUUUAUUUUUCUCAUUUAAGCUAAUUUUUUAAAAGCAGUUUAAAAGCUCAGCUAAUUUAGUCAUUUCCCUUGCAACACCCUACUCCUUCAUUAAUGGACCUAGUUUCUCUUUUUCCACACUUUUCCCCCGGCACACACACACACACACACACACACACACACACACACAAAAGCAAACAUGUUUAUAAAAACACACCUUCUUCCCCUUAGUUACUUUGGCUGGCAUUAAAUCAUUCCGCCUUUUUUUUUUUUCUCUCCUGCCCCCAUAUUUUUCCUAAACACGUUAACUUGGCCUUGGUGUUCUUUCUCAUUCUCCUCCCCCUGUGUCUCCAUUUCUUGAACAACUUCAGGAGAGUGUUGCUCUUUUGAUUUUUUUCCCCACCCUAGCCCAGCUGAAAGCUCAGGGAACACUUCUUGCUUGCUAUUUUUUAUCCUGUUUUCAUGGGACCUGGAGUCUCAGCCCUGCAAUUAUAGCCUCUUUCAUGUUAUCUUUCUCCCAAGGCAGCAGCUCACAUCCUGGCAAGUGACACAAUGGCAGUGUGGGUCUUGACUUAGCUUUCAUACCUUUUGUUUCAGAAUGCAGGAUUUCCUUAUGGUUUGUUUGGGCUUUUAAAAAAGCUUAUUUACUGAUCCUGAGAGGUGCCAGAUUUACAACCCGGAAGAAUAAAGGCCAAGUUUCUAUGUGCCUGGAAAUACUCCAUCAUGUCCAGGCCACUGUGAUGUUUUGGGCCAACCUAGAGGCUGAUUUGAUGGCUGUGGGUUCUACCCUGUUGUCGCCAAAGAGGGGCUGCAAAAACAGUCCAGACCACAGCUCACUGUGCCUCGUGUUGCAAAGAGAGGACAGGGUGAGGAAUUCAGACCAGGAUAAUGUCUGAAAAUGGGGAGAACGCUGAUUACAUUUUAAAACUACAGUCUUGUUUAUACUCUGGUAGUCAACACUAAUCAUUUAUUUGUUUAAAUUAAGCUCCCUCGCCUUAAUUAAAAUUUGCAAUGUGAUUUUUAAAAAUUUAUCCAACUGUGUUUAAACCUCACAUUCCUAGAUUUUGUACCAAGGCCCUAUCUUUAUACAAUAAUUUCAAUACAAUACAGCAUUUUCCCAAACAAAUACUUAAAUGGAGACAUGAGGUCUUUUUAGGAGAGAGGAUAUGUGACCUUCAUGGUGGAAUCACAGACGGGGCCUUAAGCAUGAGGACGUUGUAGGUUUACUCAGUAAUCUCCAACCAACGGUGUCUGUUUUUUUUCCUUGAGGCCAAGGGUAACGUCGUUGCCUGAGAAGCACUGGAGGAGAGGCAGGAACACAGAUUUGUCGAGAGCACUUACAUGUGUGCACACACCGUAACAAAGGGCAGGCUUGUUGUACGGCCACAUCACGGAGCCAGGGGACGUGCCUCGGGAAGAUGAAAUGUCAGUACUGUCUCCAUAGCACAGAGCCCAGCUCUAUACCAGAGCAGUUACGGAGCUCGGGUCUGGGUGAUUUCAGAGGCCCUGAUCCGAGUAACUUUCCUAAUAAGUCUGACGCUGUGUUCCAGAUUUGUACUUUAUGUUUACUCCUUGCAUCAAGACAGUGUCUCUGGAAGUUUCUUUUUAAAACUUUUUCUUCCCCUCAGAACGCUACAUCCUCUGCCUGAAGUGACGGUCUCAGCCAGCCCAUGAGCCUUGACAGCGCAUUGUUGGAGUUUGGAAUCAACUGCCGCCUUUUCAUGGAUAACUUCCUGAAUCUGCAGUUAAAAUUUCAUUUUUUUCUGGGUGCCCCGAGUAAAACACCCUCUGUUAAAGAUUUAUCACUUCCGCUGUAUUUCAGCUGCCUGUGGGCAUCCCUCAAUGGUGAGCUCCGUGACAGCAAGGACUGUGUCUUUGUCCUCCAGAUCACGAUUCAUGCUAAACACUGCUCUGUCCAGAAUUUAUUGUUUUGUAUUUUGACGUCUCUGUCCAGAUGUCUCUCUGGGAUCACAGACGGAGAGCUCUUUGAGCACAUGGACUUUGUCUUGUUUAUCUUUAUAGCCCCAGUGCUGAACAGACUGUCACACCGAAGGUGCUCACGGGCCUGCCGGACGAUUGAAGUUGUACAACCUGCAGACAGAGGAGCUAAGUGUCCACACGGCCCUCCCUGCUCUUUCCAUUCUAUGUAGCUAUCUUGCUGGCACCAUUUACUCCUUUCUUUCUUUCUUUUUUUUUCUUUUCUUGAGACAGAGUCUCUAGCUGUCGCCAGGCUGGAGUGCAAUAAUGGCAUGAUCUCGGCUCACUGCAACCUCUGCCUCCCGGGUUCAAGUGAUUCUCCUGCCUCAGCCUCCCGAGUAGCUGGGAUUACAGGCAUGCGCUACCACGCCCAGCUAGUUUUUCUAUUUUUAGUAGAAACAGGGUUUCACUAUGUUCACCCGGAUGGUCUCGAUCUGUUGACCUCGUGACCCGCCUGCCUCAGCCUUCCAAAGUGCUGGGAUUACAGACGUGAGCCAUGGUGCCCAGCCACUCCUUUCUUACUCCUUUUUAGUCCAGUGAAAUCUAGCUAGCUUCUCCCUUACCCGUAAUUGUUUCAUUGUAACUUAUUCUUGCUGAGAUUACUAGAGCUAUAUUUAGACCUCCUAAAUAGUAUCAUCCACUGCCUACAGUCCUUUGGACUGUAUUCAGUUCGUGUGACCCCUCCCUCGCAUGGAAACUCUCUCUUGCCUUAGUUUUUAUGGCAUGACAGCCUUAUGCUUGCCUUCCUGUCGCAGAGCUCGUGUAUCCAGCAAUUAUCGGUGCUCCCAAGGUUCCUUGUUCUUCCCCCUUCAGAGGUCUGUGCUCCUCAACAACUCUGACCCAGCCGUGGUUCCAACAACCAUGCCAAUGUGAAGGACCCUAGAUUUCCAUCUCCAGCAAGGACCUCUUUCCAGAGUGUUGGAUGGGUAUUCCCAUUAACCUACUAGACAGCUGCAUGUGGAUCUCUCAGAGCCCCUUUAAACUCAGAUCAUCUUCCCACCAAAAUCUGUCCUCCCCUCAACUCAGGACAAAGACCUCACUGUAGGAGAACAAAGGAAGUGGAAAUCUAACAGGUGGCAGUUCACCUACAAAACCUUAGUGUCAUGCAAGAGGGCUGUCCUGUGCGGUCAUUCUCAGUAUUGAGCCAAUGUAAUGAAGAAGCGUGUAGUGUGUGGUGGGCAUUUUCCAUUAUGUUUUGGUGGCCCCACAUGGCUGGACUUCCCAGGAGCUUCCCAGAGCUCCUGCUUUGGUUAAUGGUGAGCAUUUAGGCCAGACGGCCUUGCAAAUAUCUUUCCUACAUGGGACACACUGUUGCAGCCUUGCUCUAAGGCAUAGCCUGCCUUUUUUUUUUUUUUUGGUAUGAUAAAAGAAAUAUAGAAUAUUAAUAUAUUCUCCCUGGCUUUCAAAGAUUCCCAGUGCAUUUUUCUAAUACAGCAGCUAUUUACAUUAUAUUUUCUUCUUGAUUCAUCAUUUUUGAAUGAGGCCUUGUGGGUUUGAGGGCUGGUGAGAAAUAGUGCCGGGGAGAGGGUGAGGAAGAUUGCUUUAGAUGAGAGGCACGACUGUAAAUCUUGAAGUAAAAUUAUCUUUGUGAACUAAACGGUACCUGAAUUUUAUUCAAAUGAAAAGCUGGGCAAUUGAGUGUGAUUUAAAAUGAUCACUGUUCUAUACUUCAAAUGCACUGAAACAGGUUUAUUUUGCAAUAACCUGGAGAACAUAUGCAAAUUGAAGUUAUAUUGUUUAAUCUGAAGAAGUGAAGGCUGACUGAAUAAUCGGACUGCAAGGAUAUGAAGUAUUAUGUUGAGGAUAUAUACCACGAUUUACCAUUAAAUAGUACACAAAAUUAAAAUGGACUUAAAAUGCUCAGGAAAUAUGUAUUGUUAGAUAAUAGAAAAGUUAAAAUUUCUAAAAAUAGCUAAUGCUUCAUGGAUUUUUAAAGUUUUGUUUUGUUUUGUUUUUUUGUUUUUGAGAUAGGGAGAAGAUACUAGGGGAAAAAAGCAGAUGGAAAACUUCCUUGUGGUUUUUCUGUAGUAGCUUAGAGUCUGUUCUAAGGAGCAGAGAUUUCAGAGUAUGGUCUUGGAAACCUUUGUGUUCUUUGUUUCUUGUAGACGCCACACGCCUCUGUCCCCUGGCCACAGAGGCUGAUUUUGCUGUAUCUGACAUGGGUUUCUUGACCUGCUGGGAAGGCCCAAUGUCUAAUUUCCUGGUCUGCACCCUGCAGAAACCAGUGGAAAUUAAGCAGCGAUCGAUUAUCCUACCCCAUCACACCUUUCCUAGAUCAGAUGAUGCUGGCUGAGGCUUUGAAGUAUUGACAACACACUCUUUUUUCUUUUUACACCUUUUCUUCAGAGGACCUGACUCAUUCCCUGUAAAGGGAGGAAUCACUGCAGAGACACCCCCUGUAGCCACACUGCACCCUUGCAGGGGCUGGGGGACGAGAAGCAGGAUGUUGGUAGUGGUGUUGUUACCUCUCAUGACACGAAUCAGGCCCUUCCACCAUACACUUCAUUGAGGGGAUUCUGAAAUGGGGUCCUAAGGUUGCUCUGCUCUGAGAUGGAGCGUGGAGCACCGCCUCGCACUGUUGCUCUGGGGUUUGUCUUUUGCCUGGGUCUAGCUUAGCAAGGGCAAUGGCAAGAAGGGGUUUGGGAGUCAGGAGACUAUUAAUUCCAAGGGCCAAGGAUUGGCACAUCUUGGAAUAUUCCAGAAGUGUCCGCUCAGAUGGCAAAUAUGGGGACAACGUUACCGGCCCUCCUUCCAGCAAGGAGGCUAAUAUAGACCCACUCACUGCUACCAACCACCAACUCUUGACCCUUGGAAUGAAACAGUCUGUUAACUCCCAAACCCCUUCUUGCCAUUGCCCUUGCUAAGCUAGACCCAGGCAAACGACAGGCCCCAGAGCGACGCUGCAAGGCAGUGCUUCGCGCCACUUUCAUCAGGGAGGUGCCUGUGAGAUUCUGCCUCGUCCCCAUGACCUAGUUCAUGCCCUCGAUAUGCCGGUGAGAUGUGCAGGAGCUUCCUGAAGGGCCGCAUCAUCCAGCCUUUAUUUUUGUACCUCUGUAUGAGUUUUUCUCAACUCCUGCUGUCCAGUAGCCUCACUUAGGGAACCUGUAAAUAAUACCUAUGCUUGGGCCCCACCCAAGACCCAUUAAACUGGAUUAUCUGGGGAGGAAACCUGGCAGUGGUGCUUUUUAAAAAGCUCCCCAGAUGACUUUAGUGUGCAGCCUGGAUUGAGAAUUGCUGGAUCAAUUGCUGGGGGAAGAGAGAGUUCUGUGCCAGCAUAUGAGUGGGUUUUCAUAACACUAAGGAGCCUUACUGUGUGUAGGUGAUACCUACACUUCAACCAGGAGUUCUGACAGAUCAAGGACUAUUGCCCUACCAGCUGGGGAGUGACACGAGAGAGGCAUGGGCAAGGAACCAGUACAGGGAGCCCACUUACCUGGGAGAGCUGUACAAAGUUCACUGCAAAGGGUGAAACCUGAAUUGUUUGCAUUAUGCGUGGGUCUUUGGCAGAUAGAGAUGGGGAGACAGGACAUUUCCGCAGAAAGGACAAUGUGCAGGCGUGAUGCAGCAUGAUUUUUCAGGGGGACCAGAAGGUAAGUGUCAAAAAAGCAGACUCUGGGGCGUCCUUGUCCCUUUCCAGGAGCUGAGACCUGAGCUAGACACCACUGGGAUGUGUCUGGAAGGAAUGAACUGGUGGACACGGAAGCAUUGUCUUCUCAAGGGUGCAGGGUGUGCCUGGAGAUGAGGCUGGAGACAGCAGGAGCCCUGCCAUGGAUGGAAUUCUGCACCACGUUAAUUGGACUUUACCCACCCCGGGCACAGCGGUCACCCCGGUGGAGUCAGCGGCACCAUGAGAGGCGCUACCCAGGAACAGCUCUGUGCACCUUGACUGCUCACCGGCCAAGCCCAAGUCCCUGAGCCUGCUCCUGACACCCAGUCGGCUUGCUUCCCCGCCUCAUCUUUGACUGCUCUUCCUUUCAGUCACCCCUCAUCUUCCUUCUACUUCUAUGCAGGUCCAAGCAUACUUACUGUGGCUUAUUUUGUUCCCUCUGCCUGAAAGAGGUCUCUUCACCUGUCAAACUCCCGGGUACCCUUCAGACUGAGAUGAUUGUCCCCUUGAAUGUGAAUUUCCCUGAGGCAAAACUCACCGGUUCUGCUGCUGCGUCUGUGUUCCUUCAACCCAUUCUCCACACAGGGCCAGAGCCAUCUUAGCUCCAGGCACGUCACCAGUUCACGUCCCAACGAGUUUAGAAUGAGUUCACAUUCUUUGGUGGCCACAUGCCUGCCCUACUGGCUCAUCUCUGACCUCACUCUCACCAUGCUCCUCUUCCUUCUAGCACCAUCGGCCUCCUGGCACUUCCUGGAACUGCCUCAGGUCUUUCCUCUUGCCUCAGGUCCUUUGCACAAAUGAUUCCCUCCUCUCUUUCCCUGGAAUUCUCACUGUGUAUCUUCCAGAUCUCUGCUUAAAUGUCGUCUCCUCAGACAGGCCUUCCACACCUUCCUCUCCAAAAGAGGUUCUCACCAUUGUCUCAUUAUAACAAGGCUAGUCUAAGUCCAUAUAUGCUGCUAUAACAAAACACAUAGAGGGGGCAGCUUGUAAACAACAGAGAUGUAUUUCUCACUGUUCUGCAGGCUGGGAAGUCCAAGGUAAAUGUACUGGCUAAUCUAACGUCUGGUGAAGACCCACUUCCUGGUUCAUAGGUGGUGCCUUCUCACUUCAUUGUCACAUGAUAGAAGGGGUGAGGGAGUUCUCUGGGUCCCUUUUAUAAGGGUGCUAAUCCCAUUCAAGAAGGCUCCACAUUCAUGACCUAAUCACCUCCUAAAGCCCCACCUUCUAAUACCAUGACCAUAUGGUUUUUGCUGUGUCCCCACCCAAAUCUCUUCCUGAAUUAUAGCCCCCACAAUUCCCAUGUGUCAUGGGAGGGACCAGGUAGGAGGUAAUUGAAUCAUGGGGGUGGGUCUUUCUAGUGCUGUUCUCGUGAUAGUGAAUAAGUCUCACGAGAUCUGAUGGUUUUAUAAAGGGGAGUUUCCCGCACAAGUUCUCUUCUCUUGUCCACUGCCAUGUGAGAAGUGUCUUUCACCUUCCACCGUGAUUAUGAGGCCUCCCCAGCCAUGUGGAACUGUGAGUCCAUUAAACCUCUUUCUUUUGUAAGUUGCCCAGUCUCAAGUAUGUCUUUAUCAGCAGUGUGAAAACGGACUAAUACACAUCACCUUGCAGGUGAGAAUUUCAACAUAUGAAUUUUGGGGGGACACAAAAAUUCAGACCACAGCAUUUAGUCAUUGUUCUCUGUCUUUCUUUGUUGACUUCAGUUAUGACCACCUCCUAGCUAGAGUGUGAGCUUUGUGAGACAGAGACCACCUGUGUUGCAGCAGAAUAUUUGUUGAAUAAAUUAAUGAAGUAUUAAUUAUUAGGUAUUGCCAUUUUAAUGAGCAUGUUUCCUUCAUUGCACUGCAAGUCCAUUGAAACUAUUAGCCUUUGUGAUUUUGACAUAUAUAUUUUGGCCUGGCCCCAAAUCUAAAUAUUUGCAGGAUUGAAGAGAACUUGACUCAUGAUUGGAAUGAACUGCAAAGAGGAAGCUUUCAAUACUUGAGCACUUCAAACUGAACCUCUGAAGUGGGACCGAACCCAAUGCAAGCCCUAGGCCAAGAUUCAAGGGCAGUUCCUUAAUGUUGCAAGUGACUUAAGGAAAUGAUCACUGGCCAUAGGCAGAGCAGGAGAGAGCAGACUGAGCUGAAGGGAAAGUUACUGGUUUACCUCUGGGGUUUCCCUCUGUCCCUGAGUCUUUUCCUUUCCUAGGGCAAGAGCCACCCUGUGGGGUUGGAACAGGGUUUUGAGCCUCCUGCAAACCUGCAUCCUGGGCCCCGGUAAGGAGCUCAUGGCCUCACGGUUUUUGCCCUUCCUUCCUAUGCUGUUACUGGGGAAUGAUUGCCAGCAAGGGGAGAUUGCGAGGAAUGAAAAGGGCACUUCAAAUGGACUAUUAAAACACACACACCCCAGGAAGAAAUGCUCCCAAGAACCCAGAUUGUAGAGCGGGGGGUCUGAGGUAGUGGGCUUAGCUCAGGGGCCUGAGGAGGUCUCAUGAUGCUAACAACUGAGUCCCUGGCACCACUGUUCACACUACCAGUGUUGACAAGUAUUGAGGUUUGAGCUCUGCAAAACCUAGAAAGUGGCCUCAUGCAUUCCUAUUUUAAAUCUCUCAGGUUUGGGAAAAAUGAAACUAGUGCUUCCUGAUAAUGAAGAGAAAAAGGCCCCAAGAGAAGAUCCUCCUGCUAAUAAAGAAGUCUCUUGCCCUCUCAUAGGCUCUCUUGGGGCUUCCUCUUGGGGUUACCCCAGUUGAAUCUCCCUUUUAAAGCUCCACAAGGGGUUUGGAUGUGAUUAAACUGACAUGGAAGUGAACACUCACUCAGAUUCCCAGGGCCGGGAAGCCAUGGGGCACAUAAUCACCCUACCCUAAAAUGCUUUCCUUGGGGCUUACUCAAGUCCACUCUUGGGAAGCAUAUGUAGGAAGGAGGGGAUAGAAGCCUUUGACUCUGCUGGUGGAGGGAAAUGGACUCCCUUACCCCUUCUAUAUCCAUAUGCUCAUUUCAUUGACCUGUGGCACAGAAAGUGCUUACACAUCUUGGUCUGGCACGGUAGCUGACGCCUGUAACUGCAGCACUUUGGGAGGCUGAGGUGGGCAGAUCAUGAGGUCAGAAGAUUGAGACCAUCCUGGCUAACACGGUGAAACCCCGUCUCUACUAAAAAUACAAAAAAAAAAAAAUUAGCUGGGCAUGGUGGCAAGUGCCUGUAGUCCCAGCUACUUGGGAGGCUGAGGCAGGAGAAUGGUGUGAACCUGGGAGGCGGAGCUUGCAGUGAGCUGAGAUCGCGCCACUGCACUCCAGUCUGGGCAACAGAGCGAGAUUCUGUCUCAAAAAAAAAAGUGCUUACACAUCUUACAUGGACAAGACACUAGCCCGCUUCAUUGCUCCACAUUGCAAAUCAGUACUCCUCAUUCUCUUUCCAGCCUUGUCCAUGAGGCUUCUCCUUAGCAGAGCCAGGCAGAAGUUUGCCCUCAGUAGUACCCUCUCACUCUCCUUUUCUCCCCCAUGCCUGGCCCUUUUUGUGUCCCCACAAGGGCCCAGUAUUUUCUUGCAAUUCAGGCUAUUCACGACCUCCAAGACACCCAACUGCAUUCCCUGACUCUCUCCAGGUCAACCCUUUUCCAUUCCCCCAACAAAACACAACAGUCCUAUUUCUACUCACUGUUGAGGAAGAAAUUAGAUCUCUGAUUCCUCCCUCUUCUUUUCCCUCAAUACCAAUUAGCUAAAUUGUAUUAGAUACCAUUUAAAAUGAUGUUCUUUCCAGGGUGUUUUGAGUGAUAACAGAGGCUUCCUGAAGGUUUACCACCCAAACUUACACAUCUGGCAUCAGUUUUCUUCUUGUGCUGUCAUCUCUAGGGUCUAUCACACAAUUCAGACUUCAGUGUACAUAACUUGUCAUAUUUUGGGCUAUUUUCAUGUGAGUUAUUCCUGUCUCCCCAUCUAGAUUUUAAAUUUUAAAUGCCUAUAUCCUAACAGAGGGCUAAAGACAUUGCUUCACACUUACGAAUGAGCCUCUAGUGUACGUGAAGUCAGCACAGGAAGGAGAAUCAUAAAAUACUCGCAAGUUUCAGUGAGGAGGACUUUGUAGAAUCUAGUUCAGCUUCCUCAUCUGAUAGAUAAGAAAGCUGUGGUUCAAGGAAGUCUAAUAACACAUGAAACAGUGAAUCAUUAAUAAUUCAAGAACAAAUAUUUAUUCAAUGUCUAAUCUGUUCAGUAUAAUGGGAAUAUAAAGAUGAACCAGUCAUGGACCUCACUCUCCAUGAACUUAGGGUUUGAUUUGAGAAGGAGAUAAGAUAUGUGUGAGCAUCAAUAACUGUACUAUGCCAUAGGAAGCACCAUGAAAGUGCUAAAUGAACUAUAAUCAAGUGCUUAACAUGGUGAGGGUGAACUUAAAAUGCUGUGAGUGUCCAGGAAGAGCAGAGCUGAGGACAAGGGGUGACACAGAGGAAAUGUCCUACCAGGUCCAUGUCAAACAUCUAACUGGGAUUAUAGGCAAAAGCCUACUGAACCUGGUAAUGAAGCCCACACCAUGCUGCCCUUUGCUUGGUUAGUGAUGACUCUCAAGCUUGCUUUAUCCCAUGUUUAUGGGGAGUGUAUUGGGUGCCCUGUUGUGUCUGAUAAAGAGACCUAGAAGGAAGCUAAAACAGCAAAUGUAUCAAAUUACUAUCUUGGGACCUUCCAGCUCAAUCUGACUCUAACGAAGAUAGCAACUUAGAGGAAAGAAAACUGUCUUUGCUUUUUUUAAAUAUCCUCUCUUUCCACCAAGUGACUAUUGUUAGGUUUCAACUCUAUGUUGGGUUUCUCUCCCCAACUUCUUCCUAUUAAAUUAAUGCUUGCAAGAUGUGCCAGGAUGAUACAAAUAACUUUCAAAGGCAGAGCCCAGCUCUCAAAAGAUGAUGAGUCCUGAUACUCCAUGCUUCUUAAAGACUUACCUAGGUCAUCUGAGAGACAGAAGGCAAUCAAUGAUGAUCAGGGUCAGGUGCAUCCACGACUCACUCAAUUCUUGCACUUUGUGCUAUUGGGACGACAAAAGAAGCUGAAGCCACAGUUCGUGCCUUCAAUGAGAUUGCUGUCUAAGGGAGAGGAAAUGGCCAUGGUCGAAACACGUAGAGAGACUGACCCCUAAGUGCAAGAUAGCAUGGUUUGCAUUACAUACACGCAUAUGUGCGCGUACACACACACACACACACACACACACACACACACUCCCAAGAGCAGGGUUGUGUUUUGUUGCCUGGUAGCUCCACCACUUCACCCAGCUUCUAUCCAUCUUUCACCUUAGAGACAGAAGGGUGGAAGCUCUUUAGAGGCUACCUUGCCACCUGACUCCUCCCUGCCCCUCCUUUGAGACCUCCAGCCCUCUGUGAGCGCAGCUCUAUCUUCAGCCCUCAAUCCUGUCUCCUCAUCUGGCGCCCCUUUUCCAUGUCCUGCAAACAUGACUAGACCCUGAUGAUUCUCAAAAAUGUGUCAGCAACUCUGCCUUCCUCUCAAACUACUGCUCCACUUCACCCCUUCCCUUUGGCACCAAUCUUCAUUUUAUAAAAAGGCUGCAUUCACUGUCCCUACUUUCCCAUCCUCCACAUUGCUACGGUUCAGUGUUCCGCCAUUGUUCCGGCUCAGCUUCUGCCAGCACCGGGAUGGCUCCUGUGCUCAUGCCUGCUCUUGGGAUGUGAUGAUCUCUGAGUUUCAGUCUUGGGACCAGCUCUUCACUUUCUCUGAGCAAACAUCGUUUGCUUCCCCUGGCUGACAACUCCCAGAGGCAGAUUUCCAGUCUUGACUUAAACCUUAGGGGUGCAGAAACUGUAUUUCCAACUACCUAUCAAGCAGUGAGUCUACCUGGAUGUCCCUUGAAAACCUUUAAUAAACAUGACCCAAAUGGACUCAUCCCCUUCCCCCUCAAGCUUGCUUCUGUAACAGUUUAUGUGAUCAUCAUGAUCUCCCGGGCAGCCUUCAGCUAGAACCUCAGGAUUAUCUUGAGUGCCUCCUUCUCUUUCAUGCCUGCUAUCCAAUUGCUUCGUAAGCAUCCCUUAAAUCUCUUUCCUCUUGUCACUCUAUCCCUGAUCCCUCAAGUCCAGCUGACCCACAUACUUUUUCCUGGUGGCCCCCAAAAGCUGUGAACACCAGCUCUUUUAGGCAGGAGCUCCAGCCCCCUCUUCACUGUUCCCAGCUCCAGGUCUCCUAUCCUUUGUUCCCCACCCCUUUAUUUCCAAUUUCUGGCCACUUUAGCUUCAUUGGUUUUAGAUUUCUAUAUGAUUUUCCACAAUAAUGCCUCAUCUGUCCUAUACUUCCGGCUUUUGGUAUAAAAUCACACCCAUGGUCUCUGGUGAAAAACAUCCUAGUCCAGUUCCUACGCCUGUGAACCCCACUGGCCAAUCUAGCCCCCAAGGCUCCGUCUCUGCUCUUCCUUAGUGAUGCUAUUAUUUAUGCACCCAUUUCUUUCACUGGACUAUAAACUCCUUUAUGACAAGAACUAUUAUUUACUUCUCUUCAAAUUCCAUUACAGGCACAUAGCAAGAGAGAUAAUAGGAUUAUUAAAAUAAAAAGAGGCCAGGCACGGUGAGCUUAUGCCUGUAAUCCCAACACUUUGGGAGGCUAAGGCGCAUGAAUUUCUAGAAGCCAAGAGUCCGAGACCAGCCUGGGCAACAUAGGGAGACCCCACCUCUACUAAAAAUAAGAAAAAAAAUUAGCCAGGUGUAGUGAUGUGCACCUGUAGUUCUAGCUACUCAAGAGGCUGAGAUGGGAGGAUCAUGAGAGUCCAGGAGUUUGAGGCUGCCCUGAGCUAUGAUCAUGCCACUGCACUAAAUCCUGGGUGGCAGAGCAAGACUCUGUCAAUAAAAUGAAAUACAAUAAAAUGAAAAGAGUGUGGUAUGUACAGGAAAUAUUCAGGAACGAUUCAAGGCAAUGCAUGUACUAUAGAAAUGCAGCCAGAGGGAAGGGCUAUUGUGGAUUGAGUCAGUACAGGAAGCUGGAUCUUUAACUGAAUACAGACAUUGUAAUUACAUAUCCUAAAAGCAGGAAAGCGCUGGUGACUCUGAUGAAGCCUAUCUUUUAAUUCCUCCCAGUGCCCUAAAUUCUUCCCUGACUCUGUUACCCUCUCAUAACCCAGCUGCGAUGACUACUGCCUGUAACACCGAGACGAGCUCUCCAGACUGUCAUGAGAAGCUUGGUGCAGCCAACUUGAAGUCAUGAGCUGACAACAACCUCCCUGCACAUGAGGGCCAGGAGGUUGGGAGGACCCCUGUUCUGCUUACUUAGACCAAAGGGAUCUUGGAUCUCUGCUUGGCCCCAGAGUAGCUCCAGAAUCAGAAAUGUUCAUCAUUCCUAUGAGCACAUAUCCAGGGAGUGUUUGAUCAUAAGUUCUCCCCAGAGUCAAGUCUUCAGCCAAGUGCGAACGGGCCUUGUAUAAUCCUGGCUGAGGCUCAAGGGCCUUGUUAGGUUUUUCCAAAGAAGUAUCCUAGGCCUUCUCAUUGGCUUCUCCAUUUACUGUUUCCUGUAAUGCUAUCAUGUGAUUGGAAUACUGCUGUCCUUAAGGCUGUGUCCCUUUGGUACGAUGAGCUCAAGUUUUGUUCCCUCUUCUCCUGGCCUUGCCUCUAUCCAACCCCCUUGGCUGAGAAACCACUGGACUGCAUCAGCCCAGAUUAUGUUUUCUUCCGAGAUCUUCCAGAUCUAACCUGUUUAUCACAAGCACAGCUGUGCAUGCAGUUCAUGCCCCAAAUAGAUAGGUAGGUUCUGCAAAGGGUACGAUUUGGGUUUGGCUCAUAAUGAAGGAAAACUCAGUUCAUAAGAAGAAGCUGGGCCAUGCUUAUGAUCGUCUCAGAUUGGUUUUGGCAGCCUGGACACCCUCUGGCCCCUUCUCCCUUCUAGCCACUCACCCUUACCUCAUCACUUUUCCAGCUGCUACAGGCCCCAGAUGGUGCAGAGUAGCUGCUAGCAGUGACUAUUUAUCAUGAGGCUGUGCGGGUGUAAAGAAACAUGGCCAACCACACUACAAGUGGUCUAACAACAUGGUGCCCAAGGGAAAGCACGUCCUG